Molecule: ribosomal RNA, 433 nt
Filed under: uncultured bacterium
Lineage: Bacteria
Description: partial 16S ribosomal RNA
Rfam family: Bacterial small subunit ribosomal RNA
Source: RNAcentral
AACGAACGCUGGCGGCAGGCCUAACACAUGUAAGUCGAGCGAGGACUUCGGUUCUAGCGGCGGACGGGUGAGUAACGCGUGGGAAUGUGCCCUUCUCUACGGAAUAGCCCUGGGAAACUGGGAGUAAUACCGUAUACGCCCUAUUGGGGAAAGAUUUAUCGGAGAAGGAUCAGCCCGCGUUGGAUUAGGUAGUUGGUGGGGUAAUGGCCUACCAAGCCGACGAUCCAUAGCUGGUUUGAGAGGAUGAUCAGCCACACUGGGACUGAGACACGGCCCAGACUCCUACGGGAGGCAGCAGUGGGGAAUCUUAGACAAUGGGGGCAACCCUGAUCCAGCCAUGCCGCGUGAGUGAUGAAGGCCUUAGGGUUGUAAAGCUCUUUCAGCUGGGAAGAUAAUGACGGUACCAGCAGAAGAAGCCCCGGCUAACUCCGUG